CCUACGGGAGGCAGCAGUGAGGAAUAUUGGUCAAUGGCCUGACGGCUGAACCAGCCAAGCCGCGUGAAGGACGACGUUGCCAAGCAUUGUAACCUUCUUUUGUCAAUGGACAACACCAGGCUCGAGAGCCUGACCGAGGGUACUCUAAGUAAAAGCCUCGGAUAACUCCGUUCCCGCAGCCCCGGUAAUACGGAGGAUGCGAGCGUUAUCCGGAUUUAGUUGGUUGAAAGGGUGCGUAGGCGGGCUGUUAAGUCAGCGGUAAAAGCCCGGGGCUCAACCCCGGCGAGCCGUUGAAACUGGCUGUCUUGAGAUGUCGAGAGGUAUGCGGAAUGCGCAGUGUAGCGGUGAAAUGCUUAGAUAUUGCGCAGAACUCCGAUUGCGAAGGCAGCAUACCGGCGGCGAUCUGACGCUGAGGCACGAAAGCGUGGGUAUCGAACAGGAUUAGAUACCCCUGUAGUC
Molecule: ribosomal RNA, 459 nt
Filed under: uncultured bacterium
Lineage: Bacteria
Description: partial 16S ribosomal RNA
Rfam family: Bacterial small subunit ribosomal RNA
Source: RNAcentral